UGGGGAAUAUUGGACAAUGGGCGAAAGCCUGAUCCAGCCAUGCCGCGUGUGUGAAGAAGGUCUUCGGAUUGUAAAGCACUUUAAGUUGGGAGGAAGGGCAGUAAGCGAAUACCUUGCUGUUUUGACGUUACCGACAGAAUAAGCACCGGCUAACUCUGUGCCAGCAGCCGCGGUAAUACAGAGGGUGCAAGCGUUAAUCGGAAUUACUGGGCGUAAAGCGCGCGUAGGUGGGUCGUUAAGUUGAAUGUGAAAGCCCCGGGCUCAACCUAGGAACUGCAACUAAAACUGGCGAGGUAGAGGAGGGCAGAGGGUGGAGGAAAUUCCUGUGUAGCGGUGAAAAGCGUAGAUAUAGGAAGGAACACCAGUGGCGAAGGCGACCACCUGGGCUCAUACUGACACUGGGGUGCGAAAGCGUGGGGAGCAAACAGG
Molecule: ribosomal RNA, 429 nt
Filed under: Pseudomonadota bacterium
Lineage: Bacteria; Pseudomonadati; Pseudomonadota
Description: Proteobacteria bacterium partial 16S ribosomal RNA
Rfam family: Bacterial small subunit ribosomal RNA
Source: RNAcentral